This 497-nucleotide ribosomal RNA is filed under the name uncultured bacterium. Its description in RNAcentral is "partial 16S ribosomal RNA". It matches the Rfam family "Bacterial small subunit ribosomal RNA", at positions 28 to 507 of the family's 1533-position model. The record is from RNAcentral.
GAUGAACGCUGGCGGCGUGCCUAAUACAUGCAAGUCGAGCGAACGGACGAGAAGCUUGCUUCUCUGAUGUUAGCGGCGGACGGGUGAGUAACACGUGGAUAACCUACCUAUAAGACUGGGAUAACUUCGGGAAACCGGAGCUAAUACCGGAUAAUAUUUUGAACCGCAAGGUUCAAAAGUGAAAGACGGUCUUGCUGUCACUUAUAGAUGGAUCCGCGCUGCAUUAGCUAGUUGGUAAGGUAACGGCUUACCAAGGCAACGAUGCAUAGCCGACCUGAGAGGGUGUUCGGCCACACUGGAACUGAGCCACGGUCCAGACUCCUACGGGAGGCAGCAGUAGGGAAUCUUCCGCAAUGGGCGAAAGCCUGACGGAGCAACGCCGCGUGAGUGAUGAAGGUCUUCGGAUCGUAAAACUCUGUUAUUAGGGAAGAACAUAUGUGUAAGUAACUGUGCACAUCUUGACGUUACCUAAUCAGAAAGCCACGGCUAACUCCGCG